AAGAGACAUCAGCAAUAAUUCACCUUGGACAAUUUAUUUGUGAAAAUGUAUGUCUAUUUAAAUCACACAUAAAAAACACGUGCGCCAAUGCUUUUCAAGGGAACUUAUUAUGCUUAUUUCCUUCGAUAAAGCAUUUCACUCUUCUACAGGUCUCCGCAAAGUCGUAAGACCAUGUAUGGGAGCUUACGCCUGCCCAGUGCCAGAAGGUCAAGGAAGUUGGUGAACUGAUGACAGGGAACCCAGCGACGAAACCCGAUGAACGCGCCGUAACUAUAAUGGUCCUAAAGGUAGCGAAAUUCCUGUCGGGUAAGUUUCAACCCGCACGAAAGGCGUAACGAUCUGGGCACUGUCUC
RNAcentral lists this non-coding RNA (353 nucleotides) under Setaria italica (foxtail millet). RNAcentral describes it as "Bacterial large subunit ribosomal RNA". It matches the Rfam family "Bacterial large subunit ribosomal RNA", at positions 1707 to 2022 of the family's 2925-position model. The record is from Rfam by way of RNAcentral. Lineage: Eukaryota; Viridiplantae; Streptophyta; Magnoliopsida; Poales; Poaceae.